GAUGAACGCUGGCGGCGUGCCUAAUACAUGCAAGUCGAGCGAACAGACGAGGAGCUUGCUCCUCUGACGUUAGCGGCGGACGGGUGAGUAACACGUGGAUAACCUACCUAUAAGACUGGGAUAACUUCGGGAAACCGGAGCUAAUACCGGAUAAUAUAUUGAACCGCAUGGUUCAAUAGUGAAAGACGGUUUUGCUGUCACUUAUAGAUGGAUCCGCGCCGCAUUAGCUAGUUGGUAAGGUAACGGCUUACCAAGGCAACGAUGCGUAGCCGACCUGAGAGGGUGAUCGGCCACACUGGAACUGAGACACGGUCCAGACUCCUACGGGAGGCAGCAGUAGGGAAUCUUCCGCAAUGGGCGAAAGCCUGACGGAGCAACGCCGCGUGAGUGAUGAAGGUCUUCGGAUCGUAAAACUCUGUUAUUAGGGAAGAAAAAAUGUGUAAGUAACUAUGCACGUCUUGACGGUACCUAAUCAGAAAGCCACGGCUAACGACGUG
This 497-nucleotide ribosomal RNA is filed under the name uncultured bacterium. RNAcentral describes it as "partial 16S ribosomal RNA". It matches the Rfam family "Bacterial small subunit ribosomal RNA", at positions 28 to 507 of the family's 1533-position model. The record is from RNAcentral.